RNAcentral lists this ribosomal RNA (407 nucleotides) under uncultured bacterium. Its description in RNAcentral is "bacterial SSU rRNA". It matches the Rfam family "Bacterial small subunit ribosomal RNA", at positions 954 to 1359 of the family's 1533-position model. The record is from RNAcentral.
GCAUAACGCGAAGAACCUUACCCACCUUUGACAUGUACGGAAUCCUUUAGAGAUAAAGGAGUGCUCGAAAGAGAACCGUAACACAGGUGCUGCAUGGCUGUCGUCAGCUCGUGUCGUGAGAUGUUGGGUUAAGUCCCGCAACGAGCGCAACCCUUGCCAUUAGUUGCUACGAAAGGGCACUCUAAUGGGACUGCCGGUGACAAACCGGAGGAAGGUGGGGAUGGACGUCAAGUCCUCAUGGCCCCUUAUACGGUGGGGCUACGACACGUCAUACAAUGGCUGGUACAGAGGGUUGCCAACCCGGCGAGGGGGAGCGUAAUCCCAUAAAGCCAGUCGUAGUCCGGAUCGCAGUCUGCAACUCGACUGCGUGAAGUCGGAAUCGCUAGUAAUCGCGGAUCAGAAUGUCG